RNAcentral lists this long non-coding RNA (434 nucleotides) under Fukomys damarensis (Damara mole-rat). RNAcentral's name for it is "lncRNA (ENSFDAG00000030958.1)". The record is from RNAcentral. Lineage: Eukaryota; Metazoa; Chordata; Mammalia; Rodentia; Bathyergidae.
UUGGUGAUAAAGUCAAAGUACAUCUAAUAAUACUACUGUGGUUUUGUUGACAACAUUUGCAAUUGAACGAAAUUCUAGUUGUCAGGUAGAGGUUUGUGAUUAAAAAUAAUAAAGAAUUUUUUCCUUCCCAAGCUCACGAAGUCCCUAAAUUCUAUCCCCGCACUCCAGGUCCAAAACGUCAAUCCUCCCUGUCCUUUCCUGUGAUUCUUCCAAGGCUGUCUUCAGAGGAAGAGGCUGGGAGCAGCGGUGGCCUCCAUUGUCUGUCAUGGACCUCUGCUUCCUUUAAUCAAAAGAGAAAUAAGAGUGUAAGCUACGAGGACAGAGAUCUCUGCACAGCCUGGAGAGUGCACACCAACCACUCCCACUAAACACAGGAAAGUGGACAGAUGGCCCCCUUCCACUUGAGAAAGGCGUCGUCUCCCCUCACAGGUGAU